This 73-nucleotide transfer RNA is filed under the name Paramuricea clavata. It matches the Rfam family "tRNA". From Rfam's summary of the family: Transfer RNA (tRNA) molecules are approximately 80 nucleotides in length. Lineage: Eukaryota; Metazoa; Cnidaria; Anthozoa; Malacalcyonacea; Plexauridae. The record is from Rfam by way of RNAcentral.
GACCGCGUAGCUCAGUUGGAAGAGCAUUGGGCUAGUAUUCCAAAGGUCGUAGGUUCGAAUCCGAUCGUGGCCG